RNAcentral lists this ribosomal RNA (486 nucleotides) under uncultured bacterium. RNAcentral's name for it is "partial 16S ribosomal RNA". It matches the Rfam family "Bacterial small subunit ribosomal RNA", at positions 30 to 507 of the family's 1533-position model. The record is from RNAcentral.
AUUGAACGCUGGCGGCAUGCCUUACACAUGCAAGUCGAACGGCAGCACGGGUGCUUGCACCUGGUGGCGAGUGGCGAACGGGUGAGUAAUACAUCGGAACAUGUCCUGUAGUGGGGGAUAGCCCGGCGAAAGCCGGAUUAAUACCGCAUACGAUCUACGGAUGAAAGCGGGGGACCUUCGGGCCUCGCGCUAUAGGGUUGGCCGAUGGCUGAUUAGCUAGUUGGUGGGGUAAGGGCCUACCAAGGCGACGAUCAGUAGCUGGUCUGAGAGGACGACCAGCCACACUGGGACUGAGACACGGCCCAGACUCCUACGGGAGGCAGCAGUGGGGAAUUUUGGACAAUGGGCGAAAGCCUGAUCCAGCAAUGCCGCGUGUGCGAAGAAGGCCUUCGGGUUGUAAAGCACUUUUGUCCGGAAAGAAAUCCUUGGCCCUAAUACGGUCGGGGGAUGACGGUACCGGAAGAAUAAGCACCGGCUAACUACGUG